UUCACUGGUUUCUUCACACUGUCAGUGGCUGACAUUGCCACAGGAGUGCCACCUCCCAGCACAGGGUAUUGCCUGAACACUCGUGCCUAGAUGGGACCAGUGUCCUUUCCAGGGUUGCAAAGAGACACAGCCAGCUGGGAUUCACCACCCAGGACCUCCUCCUGAAGGCAGGUGCAGACACACUGCCUUUUACAGAACUCAUCAGAGCUGAAUCUUUACUGCCUGAAUUAAUCCAGUCCUCCUUUUCAGUGACUACACAGAAUCUGGAGCUUUGGUCCAAGAAUUGGGGAAGCCAGAUUUGCUGCGUAAUGGGAUUCAAAUCCAUGUUUGUUCACCAGGUAUUCCAGUGGGAGCUGUGGGAAUUCCCAUCACAUUUCCUGAAAAUGGGUCUGCUGUACAGCAAGAAGCUCAGGCUCUGAUCAGAUAGAGAGGCACCACUGCAGAUAUGACUGUGAUUUAGUGGUCGAGGUGAGUGGCUUGACUGCUAAACCAUCAAAGUCAUCAUUUUUUCCUCACUGCAUGGGAUGAGGUUUCUUUGCUUUCUACUAUCUGAAGGAAAAAGAGUGACCUGUGAGAGCUUGCAGGUUUUUGAGUUAUUUCAUGAUGCAAGACUACCCUAAGACUAAUGGUGUAAAAUAGUCUUUCUUCUAAACUGCUGCACCCCUAUGAAAAAUAAAGGUGCUAAUAUGUCUGUUUUCCA
Non-coding RNA from Cyanistes caeruleus (blue tit), 700 nucleotides. NCBI's taxonomy places the organism in Eukaryota, Metazoa, Chordata, Aves, Passeriformes, Paridae. The record is from RefSeq and is a predicted model, not a curated record.